Molecule: long non-coding RNA, 6467 nt
Organism: Vespa crabro (European hornet)
Lineage: Eukaryota; Metazoa; Arthropoda; Insecta; Hymenoptera; Vespidae
Exons: 2
Source: RefSeq, a predicted model, not a curated record
AUAUAUAUUUAUGAAAUGCAUCAAGUAGGAUAUAGUUCAGUCAUUAAAUUUUAUUGUUUUAACAGUUGCAUUCCUAUUUUAAUAAAUAAACACAUGAUGAUCUUAACGAUGUUAUUUACUCCUAUAUUAUAAUGCUUGAGUAAAUUAAAGUCACUGACUCUCAUGAUGGAUAAUGAUUGUAUGCUCUAUUAAAAAAACAUUUAUUAAACUGUUAUUAAACAACUCGCAUAGACUUGAUUCGCGAUCAUGGCAUAUCUUACGAUUGUAAAAAGCAAUUAUCUAAUACGAGAUGAACAAACUUUAUGCUUUUCUCUUUUUUUUUUUUUUUUUUUUUUUUUCAUAUUUUUUCAUAUAUUUAUUUAUUACUAAUAGAAGAAGGAAAGCGUAAAAACGUUGGAAAAUAAACGGAGAUAUAAACUCAUAAAGCGAUCAAGAUAAUAUUUUAUAUGAGUUACGUGAAGCGUAAUAUCAAAUGUUUAAUAUUAAAAGCCAACGGUCAUAUCAUUUGUGUUAGUUGAAACAUAGCAUUAGAUAUGUAAGCUUAUUUAUUGUACCGCGAACGAUUUUACAUAAUGUAUUUUACUACGUAGAUAUGUGUAGAUGUAUGAAAAUAUAUAAUAUAACGUAUUCACAGUUUUACUUUAGUCGCUAAAUAUACAUUUCACGUAUAUAAAGUCAAUUCUAUAAAUUAGAGUACAUCGUUUUCUAUUAGUUGGAAUAACAUAGACGAGUUUUAGAUCAAGUGAGGAUUUUUUAACGAAUAUUAAAUUUUAUCAUUUUUUACUAGUCACACAACGAAAGAACGAAUAAACUUUUUAUAUACGUUUAUAUAAUUUUUUUUUCUUUUUUUUUUUUUUCUGAAAUACUUUUUUAUCACGCCAUUAUCGAAACUAAACAAUGAUUGAGUUAAGAAAGGGUAUCUCAUUUUGUUAUAAUACGUGAAGGAAAUUAAUUUGUGCCAACUUCAAUGUGAUUUGUAAUAUUUUCGGUUGAAAUGAGAAUUCAUAUGAAAUCCGACGUUCGGUCGAUGUGACAAAUGUCAAACGUUUAUGGAUAUUUAUAUCUUCUCUGGAAGAUCAGCAUUGAUUCAAGAAUUAAUCCACGAUCUCUUGAAAUUAUCAUCAUUGAAGAUACACGACGGUAUGAAGAUAAUAUUUUUUUUUUUCUUUUGGAAUUGUUUUUAUCGUUUUCUACAUAUUUUUAUUUAAUGUCAUUUGAUUCAUUGAAGUAUUCCUGCGUUUUUAUUAAAAACGAUUUAUAAUAUAUCUACGUCCGUGAAUUUAAUAUAAUUACUUUUCAACACGUCAAGAUCAUGGAUGCCAAAGUACAAGGAUUUUGACAUUGAGAUCAAGAGUAGCUAAAUGUUUGGUAUUGGAAAAUAGCCAAUCGAGUAGAAAUUAUGAGCUCACAUUCUCCUCCAACUAUGAGAUUUAUUUUAUUCAAGGUUAUCUCAAUGACAAGAAAAAAAAAUGUAUAUAUAUAUAAUACAAUGCCAAAGAAAUGCUUAAUUUUAUUUGAUUAUUUUAUAUUGUUACAUUUAUCAUGAACUUUUUUAAGCUAUCUAUAUUUUAAACUAUUCAUACAUAUUCUAAUUAUUCUUGCUGUAUUUCGAAUUAUAUAAUACAAUGGGACAAUAUUUAAAUCUAUUUUUAUUUAAAUGUUAUUUUUUAAAUUAUUCCGGGAAACAUACAAACUACGAUUUUCAUUGUCGUUACGGAAGAAAGAUAUUGUCAUAAAGAAGAAAAUAAAAAAUGACAGGAAUAAAAAUGUUAUGUGUAAGAAAAGAAAUUCAAGUGUUUCAUCAGAAGAAUUUCUUUUUUAUUUUCUUUCUUCAAGUGAUAAUUAAAUACACGUGUAAAUAAUCUGUUGAUAAUUUUAUUUUUAAUUUAAUAUCUCGUUGCUCAAAAUUUCCGUUCGAUAAUAAUAAUGACAAUUUACCUGAAAGUUUAUCGAAUAACAAUUUUUGUAUAUUUGCUAAAUGCUCAAUCAAAAUUUGUUUUUUCUUCUUUUAUAUUUUUGAAUUUUAAUCACGAAUUCGAAACUUUAAUUUUUGAUGUGCUAAAAUCAUCACAUGGUUUUGCAUAUCAAAUAAAACGUCAAAAUAUAAGUACUCUUGAUAAUAUUAAAUAAUAUUUCAUAUGUAACGUUACGAUUAGAUAAUUUGCCUUGGAAUAAUGUAAUACAUGGUCGUAAUAGUUUUUUUUAAUAAAAUAUAUAGAAUUAAUAAUAUCGAUUAUACAAAUUUUUGUUUCUUGAGAGAACAUAAGUACUUAUUUUAAUGCAUUUUCAUAAAGAGAUAUUUUAAAUAAAUUUAAAUAAAUAAUGCAAUACGUCAAUCGUUUUAUGUUAACCAUUUUAAUGUAAUGCAAUUUGUUGAUAGUAUGAUGGUAAAUUUGCAAAAAAGAAAAAUAACUGAACGUCAUUAAGUAUUUCUUAUCUGAAUUAACAUACAAGAAGGUAUUUAAAAGAGUAUAAAGGAGAUAGUUGAGUAAUUCAUUAAGACACAUGGUUGACUGUUGAAUAUCAACUGAUAAUAAAAGUGAACCAAUCAUUAUAUAUCACUUCUGUUUCUUAAAACAAAAAAAAAUUAUCGCAAGAGUGACUCAAGUUAUUUCUGAAAUCAAUUGCCUCCAAAUAUAUUAUUUAAUAUCGUUAGAACGCUCUCUGACAGUAAAAAUAAUAAUAUUAUCAUUAAUACCUAAUAUUAUCAUUAUUACCUUAUAAAUUAUAUUACGUUGAAUUAACACGGCUAAUUCGUACAAUUAAAUAUAUAGUAAAAUAUAUUAGUAAAUAUAUUAGUAAAAAAUAUAAUAUUUCUUCCCUCCUAGUGACGAAAUAUAAAUUAAUGAAGGAAGUUAUUAAUAUCCAAUUGAAUGUUUCAUCGAUCUAUCAUAUAACAAUAAUUAGAUAUAUUAGUAUGUAUUCAUCGUAUAUCAUCUUUGAUUUUGCAAUGCAAACAAUAAUACAGGAUUAUUGUUAAAAAAAAUAAAAUCUAAUUUUUCGUGACAUAAUUUUUAAUUUUAUAUGGGAAAAUUGAUGGAUAAAUUUUUCAACAAAAUUGAUCAAUUUCAUAGAGCAAAAAAUUUUUUUUUACUUUUCAAAUCCUCGGUACGAGUUUCAAUAAAAUAAAAUACGUGCAACAAUUUCAAAUGACGUUGAUUUAGUUUUGUCUGAAUUAAUUGAUAAUAAUUCAUUAAUUUUUGUUGUAUAUAUUUUCAAUGUGAAUUCAUUUCAAUCGAUGAAGAAUAUCGAAAUUUAUUCCAUGAAUGAUUUAGUUUGCACUUGUAGUAUUCCAGUACAUAAUUAUGAUUAAUUCCAAGUGUAAACUGCUUCGUGUCAAAAAGUUCAUAAUGCCAAAGGUGUCUUAACAACAGACAUGGACACUCUACAAGGAAAAACUUCCGUGAAGGGCUUCCGAGCAUUUGAAUAACGAUUGCCUUGGGCAGUGUUGCAUUCUUUCAUCAUACGAUGACAUUUGCAUUUUCACGAAACUCAAUGUUUCGAGAUUUCGUCGAGUAACGUUUCCUUAAAAAAAAAAAAAAAAAAAAGAAAAAAAAAAGAAAAAGAGAAAUAAUAACAAUUUAUGAUAAAUACGUAUUACUGCUAUCAGUUAUUGGUAUAGUAUGAAAAUGAGGAAUGAUAAAUAGUAGAAGUUCAAGAGGAAAAGAAACAUGCAAAGACAACAAAGAGUCAUAUAUUAAAAUGGCACAUAUAUUAUCAAAUAAAAUUUUGUUUACGUAAAAAUAUUAAGGUUUUUUCUUUCUUUUUUUCUUUUUUUUUUUUAUUAGAAAAUUUUUAAGCACGAACUUUAAAAUCAAUUUAAUAAAAUAUCAAUGAAAUAUAUAAGAGAUCGACGAAGUUCGUAUAUGUGAAAGGGGAAAAAGAAACAAAAAAUUUAUCAAAAUAUCUAUCAAAAAAGAAAAAAGAAAGAAAAGAAACAAGAAAAGAAAAAGAAGUAAAUUAUUAAAUUGCAUUUCUUAUGACGAGCACGAAGAAAAACGAUUGAGAAAACAUUUGACCUUGUGUAAAUGCAUCGAUGUUCAUAGCUCACAUGCACAUCAAAUUUGCGUACAAGUAAAGCAACUUCACAAACGCAAAACACAAUGACGCACGCCUACUCGUCGAUGAUAGCUGGCAAACUUGUUUGUAAUCUUGCGUCGUCACAGCAAAACGUAAAUGAAGUGCUGUAAGUCUUUCAAUCGAAUAAUAUUCGAACAAAUAAUAUUCGAAGCGAUUUCACGUAUUAUGAUACGAACACUUUUCAUUAAAGCGUAUAUCGUCUAAUUAAUUGUUGAUAAAAUGAUACAUUGAUCAAAAGUUAAUUUAAUAAUUAUUAUAACUUCAUGAUUAGAUAUAAAUCUAAUAUUAAUUUUCAUAAUUAAAUUUGUAAACAAUAUCGAUAUAUAUCGUUCAAAAAAUAAUUAAUAAUAUAUUAUUCAACCGAUUAUGAAGAACGUUGUAAUUUAAACGAUUCUAAAAUUAAAAUAUCACCGUUACCGCGUCCUUUCGUACUCUUUAUUUUUGCAUAACGGCAUAAUUGGAAAGUAGUUUGUCCAGUGUAUUUAAUCCGGUCAAGAUUCAAUACUCGAUAAGUAUAAAUUUCAUUGCGAUAAAAGUCGAUGAAAAUAGAAAGUCAAUUUAAGUGUUAAGUAAAUUUUAAAGAAAUUUAUUUAUUAAAAGCAGAAUAAUAAUGACCGAUGUUCUUCCUCAAGGCUAAUAGCCUCUAAACGUUAACAUGCGUGCUACCAUCCACGCGAGACUCACGAAAGGAAGAUGAAAAGCGACAAAGUAUUCGGAUCUAGCAUCUGCUAAUAAAUUAGGCAAAAAUAUAUGUUACUGAAUGACUGAAACUGCAUUGGCCGAUGGUAGAGAGGUAAAUAAUGAAAGAGUUUAUGAACAAUUUGUGGGAACAAAUAAUGAUCUUAAUGAUGAGAACGGAUAACAUGUUGCAUGAGAUCUAGGAAUCUAUCGAUGCAGCUGAACCACGAAACCGUGGCCCUCAGGCGAUUCCAUAUGGAUAAUUUAGUCAAAUUACUUAGUAUCUAAAAUGAACCUGUACCCUUUCUUGAAAGCAAAGUAUUCAUUUUUUCUUUUCGUUGUAAUUCCCACGUAAUUUUUUCGUCUUUCCUACGUUAUUUUUAUCCUUAGAACGAAACUUUUUAUAUGCUCGUAUAUAGCCGAGAAGAAAAAUUUUUCAAACGUUGCCAUUAAACCGGUUUGUUAAUUUCUUGAUAUUUGAAAAAAAUCACGAUUAAAAGCAAUCGCUUGAAAACUUUGAAAGAUAAUAUUGAAUUGAAUAAAGAUAAUUCUUGCAAGUGAUUUUAUAAGUAACUUGUUUAAAAUGUCAAUUCUGCUCCGUUAACCGAGGAAGAGAAGGAGGGGGGGGGGGAAGGAAUAAUGAAUAAAUUAAACAAAACUUAAAUUAUCAUUAGAUUCGAAUAUACUUGUGUGAAAUGUAAAUCAACGUCAAAAUCUUUAGUGUUAUUUAUAAUCUGUUUUAAUAAAAUAUUAAGAUAAACGCAUCUUAAGGAGAUCCGUUGGUGCAUUCACUUUAGGUUAAUGAACUUUUGCUUUGCUCAAGGCGAAUAAACGAUUUUAAUACCACACCUUGAAUCAUCCGAUAUACUACAUAUAUCCCUCGUCAAUUUUUCUUUAUAUUAUUUUUCAAUUUCAUAUUAACUUUUUUUUCAAUGUUUCAAUUUUCUCUUUUUCUUUUUUUUUUCUUUUUUUUUUUUUGUAUCUUUCAGUAUCUGCGAAUCUUCAAAUGUAUUCUUUUUUUUUUUUUAUUCGUUAUCCUUCAAUGAGUUCGCUAAAUAAAGCCACGUAAAACUUUUAAUUGCUAUUCAUAUACACGCCUAUUUGUCACGAAGAUCACGCGAUAAGUUUGUCGACGUUUGUGUCGAGGUAUAACUUUGUCGCGGAACAUGAAAUUCACACGAAUAUGUUGAAAAUAAAAAUCGUUCGUAGUAUUAUAUGUAUUUUCCCGUCCUUCUCGUCUUUAAUAUCGUGAUGCAUCGUAUACGCUUAAUGUUCAGCAGCGUCCUAAUUGGCAUUGGUAAUAACACCUUGGAAGAGUGCACGCACAGUCACGGCAAGUACGAGCCUACAUUGCCCGGUAAAUGCGAAGUAAAGAAAUGAGGAAAAAAUAACUUAUAUUAAUAAUAAGAGAGGAAAAUAAAGAGGGAGGGAGAGAGAGAAUGCAGUUCUUAAUCUCUUUUUCUUUUUUUUUUUUUUUUUUUUUUCUUGCGUCCACACAACAGGAGACGUGUGAUCAUCGUUAAAUGCAAAUUAAUUUGAAGGUAUUUAAUAAUAUCCAACAAGAUACGCACUUUGAGAGGUACAAUCGGAUAUGUUCUGAAGCCUUUCAAGCCAAAGUAGUAAUUUGCAAUUGAGAAGUGACUAUUAGUGGUUCCAUAUUUGAUGUAAAUAUGCAUGUAAUAUAAAAAAAAAGGGAAGUUAGAAAACGG